CCCUUAGAUGUUCUGGGCUGCACGCGCGCUACACUGAAGCUAUCAACACGUUUUCCCUCCCUGAGAAGGGCGGGUAACCUUUUGAAUCAGCUUCGUGGUAGGGAUCGGGGCUUGCAAUUGUUCCCCGUGAACCAGGAAUUCCUAGUAGACGCGAGUCAUAAGCUCGCAUCGAUUAAGUCCCUGCCCUUUGUACACACCCCCCGUCGCUACUACCGAUUGAACGUUUUAGUGAGGCAUUUGGACCGACGCAUCUCAGUUUAACCGCUGGUUUGUGUUGGAAAGACUUCCAAACUUGAGCGUUUAGAGGAAGUAAAAGUCGUAACA
This 324-nucleotide ribosomal RNA is filed under the name uncultured eukaryote. RNAcentral's name for it is "partial 18S ribosomal RNA". It matches the Rfam family "Eukaryotic small subunit ribosomal RNA", at positions 1470 to 1796 of the family's 1831-position model. The record is from RNAcentral.